AGGUUGUGCCCUUGAGGCGUGGCUUCCGGAGCUAACGCGUUAAGUAGACCGCCUGGGGAGUACGGCCGCAAGGUUAAAACUCAAAUGAAUUGACGGGGGCCCGCACAAGCGGUGGAGCAUGUGGUUUAAUUCGAUGCAACGCGAAGAACCUUACCUGGUCUUGACAUCCACGGAAGAAUUCAGAGAUGGAUUUGUGCCUUCGGGAACCGUGAGACAGGUGCUGCAUGGCUGUCGUCAGCUCGUGUUGUGAAAUGUUGGGUUAAGUCCCGCAACGAGCGCAACCCUUAUCCUUUGUUGCCAGCGGUUAGGCCGGGAACUCAAAGGAGACUGCCAGUGAUAAACUGGAGGAAGGUGGGGAUGACGUCAAGUCAUCAUGGCCCUUACGACCAGGGCUACACACGUGCUACAAUGGCGCAUACAAAGAGAAGCGACCUCGCGAGAGCAAGCGGACCUCAUAAAGUGCGUCGUAGUCCGGAUUGGAGUCUGCAACUCGACUCCAUGAAGUCGGAAUCGCUAGUAAUCGUGGAUCAGAAUGCCACGGUGAAUACGUUCCCGGGCCUUGUACACACCGCCCGUCACACCAUGGGAGUGGGUUGCAAAAGAAGUAGGUAGCUUAACCUUCGGGAGGGCGCUUACCACUUUGUGAUUCAUGACUGGGGUGAAGUCGUAACAAGGUAACCGUAGGGGAACCUGCGGUUGGAUCACCUCCUUA
RNAcentral lists this ribosomal RNA (712 nucleotides) under Salmonella enterica subsp. enterica serovar Enteritidis str. 3402. RNAcentral describes it as "bacterial SSU rRNA". It matches the Rfam family "Bacterial small subunit ribosomal RNA", at positions 821 to 1533 of the family's 1533-position model. The record is from RNAcentral. Lineage: Bacteria; Pseudomonadati; Pseudomonadota; Gammaproteobacteria; Enterobacterales; Enterobacteriaceae.